GUUUGUUUCUGAGACUGAAGACACCCAAUCUCAUCUGAUCUGCAAAGCUAAGCAGGGUUGGGCCUGGUUAGUAUUUGGAUGGGAGACUACCUGGGAAAUACCAGGUGCUGUAAGCU
Molecule: ribosomal RNA, 116 nt
Filed under: Amphiprion percula (orange clownfish)
Lineage: Eukaryota; Metazoa; Chordata; Actinopteri; Pomacentridae
Source: RNAcentral